UGAAUUGUCAUUCUAGAUAGCACUUAAAGAACAAACCCUUUUCUGUCUCUUUCUUUUUUCUCCUACUAAUUCAUGUUGUCAAAACAUUUUUAAGACACUUUUCUAUGUUAGCAUUUUUCAUAAUAUCUAAGAAAAUCUUCAUUGUAAUAUAACCAAUAAUAAGUCAGCUACUAUUGCAACUAUUAAUGUAAUGAUAUUACAUUGGGUAAUCAUUUAUCACAUUUAUUAGAACCAUAAUUCCAUCAAAAUCACCUUACAACUUUCCUUACACCAUCUAAACAUGUACUUAAGGUACUUUGCAUAUCAAUUGAAGUACAAAUUUCACAUUUAAGAAGAGAACAUCAAGGCCCCAAAUUUCAUGAACACUAUAACAAUAUGAGGGGGAAAAAUCAGUACUAAAAUUUAAAGUUCAAGAAUAUUUAGCUACAUACUUCCUCUUAGAAUUGAAAAUUUUAGGAAAUUUAUUAGAAUAUUUGUUACAAGAGCAAUUGAAGCAGGUCAACAAGAUGGCCGCAAAAUCAAACAAACCAGUAACACUAAUUACAGAACAAAAAAGCACAAAUCAAACACUUAGCAAAUUAACUCAUCAGCACAGACGACAUAGAAAGUGCAAAUUCCAAAAAAAAAA
RNAcentral lists this unclassified non-coding RNA (628 nucleotides) under Hevea brasiliensis (rubber tree). The record is from RNAcentral. Lineage: Eukaryota; Viridiplantae; Streptophyta; Magnoliopsida; Malpighiales; Euphorbiaceae.